RNAcentral lists this ribosomal RNA (477 nucleotides) under uncultured bacterium. RNAcentral's name for it is "partial 16S ribosomal RNA". It matches the Rfam family "Bacterial small subunit ribosomal RNA", at positions 28 to 506 of the family's 1533-position model. The record is from RNAcentral.
GACGAACGCUGGCGGCGUGCUUAACACAUGCAAGUCGAACGGGAUUUAGUAAACGGAAGCCUCGGUGGAAGAUUACUAAUGAGAGUGGCGAACGGGUGAGUAACGCGUGAGCAACCUGCCUAUGACAGUGGGAUAGCCUCGGGAAACCGGGAUUAAUACCGCAUAAAAUCGUAGAAACACAUGUUUCAACGGUCAAAGAUUUAUCGGACAUAGAUGGGCUCGCGUCUGAUUAGCUAGUUGGUGAGAUAACAGCCCACCAAGGCGACGAUCAGUAGCCGGUCUGAGAGGAUGAACGGCCACAUUGGAACUGAGACACGGUCCAAACUCCUACGGGAGGCAGCAGUGGGGAAUAUUGCACAAUGGGGGAAACCCUGAUGCAGCGACGCCGCGUGAACGAAGAAGGUAUUCGUAUCGUAAAGUUCUGUCCUAUGGGAAGAUAAUGACAGUACCAUAGAAGAAAGCUCCGGCUAAAUACGU